AUGGCAGGAACCCGGGAGGCGGAGCUUGCAGUGAGCUGAGAUCCGGCCACUGCACUCCAGCCUGGGCGACAGAGCGAGACUCCGUCUCAAAAAAUAAAAUAAAAUAAAUAAAAUAAAAUAAAAUAAAAUAGCAUGAAUUACAAGGGCCGGGCACAGUAGCUCAUCUCCAUAAUCCUAGCACUUUGGGAGGCCAAGGCGGGCAGAUCACCUGAGGUCAGGAGUUCAAGACCAGCCUGGACAACAUGGUGAAACCCCGUCUCUACUAAAAAUAUAAAAAUUAGCCAGGCGUGGUGGCAUGUGCCUGUAGUUCCACCUACUUGGUGGGCUGAAGCAGGAGAAUCGCUUAUACCCGAGAGGCAGAGUUGCAGUGAGCCAAGAUUGUGGCACUGCACUCCAGCCUGGGCAACAGAAUGAGACUCUGUCUCAAAAAAAAAAAAAAAAAUUACCUGGGCAUGGUGGCACACGCCUGUAAUUCCACCUACUUGGGAUGCUGAGGCACAAGAAUCACUUGAACUAGGGAGGUAAAGGUUGUAGUGAGCCGAGAUCAUGCCACUGCACUCCAGCCUGGGUGACUGAGUGAGAUUCUGUCUCAAAAAAAAAAAAAAAAAAAAAAGCACGAACUGGGAUAUUUGUCAUUAUCAAAAAUUAUACAUGUCCAUUGCUUGCUUUCUUGCUUUUUUUUUUUUUUUUUGAGACGGGGUUUUGUUGCUUCUUUUCCAAGUAUCAAUCAAAACUACAUGCCAACCUCCACUCCUUGGAAAUAAUUAAAUGACAUGACGUGCCUCAUUUUUUUCAGCUGCUGAUGCACUGUAAUUUGCACCUGUUGAAGGAAUUUAUCUUAAGUCCUGAAGCCUAGCCACUUGAGACAACUGAGAGCAAAUCAUCCGUGGCUUAACAGCAGGCUUUGGAUUCAAGUCCCCUUUUCUCCUGUCGAGGGAAGUGAGUCUAUGAACCGGCCUUCAUCUGAAAGCCACAGCGAAGCACCUCCUAGCCCAAGUCUAGCUGCUGUGUGGCAGCUCCAGCGGUGUGACCUGUGACUGCCCUGCAGAC
This 1050-nucleotide long non-coding RNA is filed under the name Macaca fascicularis (crab-eating macaque). RNAcentral describes it as "lncRNA (ENSMFAG00000049527.1)". The record is from RNAcentral. Lineage: Eukaryota; Metazoa; Chordata; Mammalia; Primates; Cercopithecidae.